RNAcentral lists this ribosomal RNA (527 nucleotides) under uncultured bacterium. RNAcentral's name for it is "bacterial SSU rRNA". It matches the Rfam family "Bacterial small subunit ribosomal RNA", at positions 984 to 1509 of the family's 1533-position model. The record is from RNAcentral.
ACAUCCAGAGAAUUUAGCAGAGAUGCUUUAGUGCCUUCGGGAACUCUGGAGACAGGUGCUGCAUGGCUGUCGUCAGCUCGUGUUGUGAAAUGUUGGGUUAAGUCCCGNAACGAGCGCAACCCUUAUCCUUUGUUGCCAGCACGUAAUGGUGGGAACUCAAAGGAGACUGCCGGUGAUAAACCGGUGGAAGGUGGGGAUGACGUCAAGUCAUCAUGGCCCUUACGAGUAGGGCUACACACGUGCUACAAUGGCGCAUACAAAGAGAAGCGACCUCGCGAGAGCAAGCGGACCUCAUAAAGUGCGUCGUAGUCCGGAUUGGAGUCUGCAACUCGACUCCAUGAAGUCGGAAUCGCUAGUAAUCGUAAAUCAGAAUGUUACGGUGAAUACGUUCCCGGGCCUUGUACACACCGCCCGUCACACCAUGGGAGUGGGUUGCAAAAGAAGUAGAUAGCUUAACCUUCGGGAGGGCGUUUACCACUUUGUGAUUCAUGACUGGGGUGAAGUCGUAACAAGGUAGGCGUAGUGCU